This is a long non-coding RNA of Pongo pygmaeus (Bornean orangutan), 225 nucleotides long. RefSeq lists it as uncharacterized. The transcript is spliced from 3 exons. The record is from RefSeq and is a predicted model, not a curated record. NCBI's taxonomy places the organism in Eukaryota, Metazoa, Chordata, Mammalia, Primates, Hominidae.
CUCCACUUCAACAAGGCUGCCCCACUUGUAGGCUUCUAACAAGGAAUGCACCACACUCUGGAUGUGGGUGCAGAGAAGAUGGCUGGCUGGAUCCAGGGUUUUAAUGUUUCCAGGACAAGAGCAUGGGAACAACUAUCUCCUGGAAUGGCCCUUCCACAGGAAGAGAGAAGGAUGCAUGGCACAGAGGAAGGAUGGGGCACCUGGAUUCAAAAUCUGCUUCCACCA